This 1065-nucleotide non-coding RNA is filed under the name fungal endophyte. RNAcentral describes it as "eukaryotic LSU rRNA". The stretch from base 487 to 1065 matches the Rfam family "Eukaryotic large subunit ribosomal RNA", at positions 1 to 591 of the family's 3401-position model. RNAcentral also lists the same sequence under 1 other name. Lineage: Eukaryota; Fungi. The record is from RNAcentral.
UGAGUUUACGCUCUACAACCCUUUGUGAACAUACCUAUAACUGUUGCUUCGGCGGGUAGGGUCUCCGUGACCCUCCCGGCCUCCCGCCCCCGGGCGGGUCGGCGCCCGCCGGAGGAUAACCAAACUCUGAUUUAACGACGUUUCUUCUGAGUGGUACAAGCAAAUAAUCAAAACUUUUAACAACGGAUCUCUUGGUUCUGGCAUCGAUGAAGAACGCAGCGAAAUGCGAUAAGUAAUGUGAAUUGCAGAAUUCAGUGAAUCAUCGAAUCUUUGAACGCACAUUGCGCCCGCCAGCAUUCUGGCGGGCAUGCCUGUUCGAGCGUCAUUUCAACCCUCAAGCUCUGCUUGGUGUUGGGGCCCUACAGCUGAUGUAGGCCCUCAAAGGUAGUGGCGGACCCUCCCGGAGCCUCCUUUGCGUAGUAACUUUACGUCUCGCACUGGGAUCCGGAGGGACUCUUGCCGUAAAACCCCCAAUUUUCCAAAGGUUGACCUCGGAUCAGGUAGGAAUACCCGCUGAACUUAAGCAUAUCAAUAAGCGGAGGAAAAGAAACCAACAGGGAUUGCCUCAGUAACGGCGAGUGAAGCGGCAACAGCUCAAAUUUGAAAUCUGGCCCUAGGCCCGAGUUGUAAUUUGCAGAGGAUGCUUUUGGUGCGGUGCCUUCCAAGUUCCCUAGAACGGGACGCCAGAGAGGGUGAGAGCCCCGUACAGUUGGACACCAAGCCUUUGUAAAGCUCCUUCGACGAGUCGAGUAGUUUGGGAAUGCUGCUCAAAAUGGGAGGUAUAUUUCUUCUAAAGCUAAAUACCGGCCAGAGACCGAUAGCGCACAAGUAGAGUGAUCGAAAGAUGAAAAGCACUUUGAAAAGAGGGUUAAACAGCACGUGAAAUUGUUAAAAGGGAAGCGCUUGUGACCAGACUUGCGUCCGGUGAAUCACCCAGCUCUCGCGGCUGGGGCACUUCGCCGGCUCAGGCCAGCAUCAGCUCGCUGUCGGGGACAAAAGCUUCAGGAACGUAGCUCUCUUCGGGGAGUGUUAUAGCCUGUUGCAUAAUACCCUUCGGCGGGCUGA